AUUGAACGCUGGCGGCAUGCCUUACACAUGCAAGUCGAACGGCAGCACGGGAGCAAUCCUGGUGGCGAGUGGCGAACGGGUGAGUAAUAUAUCGGAACGUGCCCAGUCGUGGGGAUAACGUAGCGAAAGCUACGCUAAUACCGCAUACGAUCUAUGGAUGAAAGCGGGGGAUCGCAAGACCUCGCGCGAUUGGAGCGGCCGAUAUCAGAUUAGGUAGUUGGUGAGGUAAAGGCUCACCAAGCCGACGAUCUGUAGCUGGUCUGAGAGGACGACCAGCCACACUGGGACUGAGACACGGCCCAGACUCCUACGGGAGGCAGCAGUGGGGAAUUUUUGGGACAAUGGGCGCAAGCCUGAUCCAGCAAUGCCGCGUGCAGGAUGAAGGCCUUCGG
This 392-nucleotide ribosomal RNA is filed under the name uncultured bacterium. Its description in RNAcentral is "bacterial SSU rRNA". It matches the Rfam family "Bacterial small subunit ribosomal RNA", at positions 30 to 421 of the family's 1533-position model. The record is from RNAcentral.